UGGGGAAUAUUGCACAAUGGAGGGAACUCUGAUGCAGCGACGCCGCGUGAACGAAGAAGGCUUUCGAGUCGUAAAGUUCUUUUAUAUGGGAAGAUAAUGAUGGUACCAUAAGAAAAAGCCCCGGCUAACUACGUGCCAGCAGCCGCGGUAAUACGUAGGGGGCUAGCGUUGUCCGGAAUCACUGGGCGUAAAGGGUUCGCAGGCGGAAAUGCAAGUCAGGUGUAAAAGGCAGUAGCUUAACUACUGUAAGCAUUUGAAACUGCAUAUCUUGAGAAGAGUAGAGGUAAGUGGAAUUUUUAGUGUAACGGUGAAAUGCGUAGAUAUUAAAAAGAAUACCGGUGGCGAAGGCGACUUACUGGGCUCAUUCUGACGCUGAGGAACGAAAGCGUGGGUAGCAAACAGG
Molecule: ribosomal RNA, 403 nt
Filed under: Bacteroidota bacterium
Lineage: Bacteria; Pseudomonadati; Bacteroidota
Description: Bacteroidetes bacterium partial 16S ribosomal RNA
Rfam family: Bacterial small subunit ribosomal RNA
Source: RNAcentral